GACGAACGCUGGCGGCGUGCUUAACACAUGCAAGUCGAACGGAAAGGCCCUGCUUUUGUGGGCUUCUCGAUUGGCGAACGGGUGAGUAACACGUGAGUAACCUGCCCUUGACUUUUGGAUAACUUCAGGAAACUGGGGCUAAUACCGUAUAGGAGCUCCUGCUGCAUGGUGGGGGUUGGAAAGUUUCGGCGGUUGGGGAUGGACUCGCGGCUUAUCAGCUUGUUGGUGGGGUAGUGGCUUACCAAGGGUUUGACGGGUAGCCGGCCUGAGAGGGUGACCGGGCACAUUGGGACUGAGAUACGGCCCAGACUCCUACGGGAGGCAGCAGUGGGGAAUAUUGCACAAUGGGCGGAAGCGUGAUGCAGCAACGCCGCGUGCGGGAUGACGGCCUUCGGGUUGUAAACAGCUUUCGCCUGUGACGAAGCGUGAGUGACGGUAAUGGGUAAAGAAGCACCGGCUAACUACGUG
RNAcentral lists this ribosomal RNA (468 nucleotides) under uncultured bacterium. Its description in RNAcentral is "partial 16S ribosomal RNA". It matches the Rfam family "Bacterial small subunit ribosomal RNA", at positions 28 to 507 of the family's 1533-position model. The record is from RNAcentral.